CGGAGGGAUCAUUACUGAGUUUACGCUCUAUAACCCUUUGUGAACAUACCUAUAACUGUUGCUUCGGCGGGUAGGGUCUCCGUGACCCUCCCGGCCUCCCGCCCCCGGGCGGGUCGGCGCCCGCCGGAGGAUAACCAAACUCUGAUUUAACGACGUUUCUUCUGAGUGGUACAAGCAAAUAAUCAAAACUUUUAACAACGGAUCUCUUGGUUCUGGCAUCGAUGAAGAACGCAGCGAAAUGCGAUAAGUAAUGUGAAUUGCAGAAUUCAGUGAAUCAUCGAAUCUUUGAACGCACAUUGCGCCCGCCAGCAUUCUGGCGGGCAUGCCUGUUCGAGCGUCAUUUCAACCCUCAAGCUCUGCUUGGUGUUGGGGCCCUACAGCUGAUGUAGGCCCUCAAAGGUAGUGGCGGACCCUCCCGGAGCCUCCUUUGCGUAGUAACUUUACGUCUCGCACUGGGAUCCGGAGGGACUCUUGCCGUAAAACCCCCAAUUUUCCAAAGGUUGACCUCGGAUCAGGUAGGAAUACCCGCUGAACUUAAGCAUAUCAAUAAGCGGAGGAAAAGAAACCAACAGGGAUUGCCUCAGUAACGGCGAGUGAAGCGGCAACAGCUCAAAUUUGAAAUCUGGCCCUAGGCCCGAGUUG
This 642-nucleotide ribosomal RNA is filed under the name fungal endophyte. RNAcentral's name for it is "eukaryotic LSU rRNA". The stretch from base 187 to 340 matches the Rfam family "5.8S ribosomal RNA". Lineage: Eukaryota; Fungi. The record is from RNAcentral.